AACGAACGCUGGCGGCAGGCCUAACACAUGCAAGUCGAGCGAACCCUUCGGGGUUAGCGGCGGACGGGUUAGUAACGCGUGGGAAUAUACCCUUUGGUACGGAAUAGCCUCGGGAAACUGAGAGUAAUACCGUAUGUGCCCUUCGGGGGAAAGAUUUAUCGCCAAAGGAUUAGCCCGCGUUGGAUUAGAUAGUUGGUGGGGUAAUGGCCUACCAAGUCUACGAUCCAUAGCUGGUUUGAGAGGAUGAUCAGCAACACUGGGACUGAGACACGGCCCAGACUCCUACGGGAGGCAGCAGUGGGGAAUCUUAGACAAUGGGCGCAAGCCUGAUCUAGCCAUGCCGCGUGGACGAUGAAGGCCUUAGGGUUGUAAAGUCCUUUCAGAUGGGAAGAUAAUGACGGUACCAUCAGAAGAAGCCCCGGCUAACUCCGUGCCAGCAGCGCGGUAAUGUCUGUACU
RNAcentral lists this ribosomal RNA (458 nucleotides) under uncultured bacterium. Its description in RNAcentral is "bacterial SSU rRNA". It matches the Rfam family "Bacterial small subunit ribosomal RNA", at positions 29 to 531 of the family's 1533-position model. The record is from RNAcentral.